This 253-nucleotide ribosomal RNA is filed under the name uncultured bacterium. RNAcentral describes it as "partial 16S ribosomal RNA". It matches the Rfam family "Bacterial small subunit ribosomal RNA", at positions 524 to 776 of the family's 1533-position model. The record is from RNAcentral.
UACGAAGGGUGCGAGCGUUGUCCGGAUUUAUUGGGUUUAAAGGGUGCGUAGGUGGCCUGUUAAGUCAGUGGUGAAAUACGGUUGCUCAACAAUCGAGGUGCCAUUGAUACUGACCGGCUUGAAAUAAUUGGAGGCUGCCGGAAUGGAUGGUGUAGCGGUGAAAUGCAUAGAUAUCAUCCAGAACACCGAUUGCGAAGGCAGGUGGCUACGAUUUGUUUGACACUGAGGCACGAAAGCAUGGGGAGCAAACAGG